UCUCGCUCACUGUUCUCCCUCUCUCACCCACUUUCUUGAUCAUAUCAGAUCUGCUUCCGCUUCUCCUUCUCCUUCUCGCUUCUCCUUCUUCCCUCUCCCCCUCACCCCCAAACCUCUCGCGCUCGCUAAGGGUUUUCGGUACCCCUUCCCACCCGCGCUUCCUCCCGCGACUCCUCCUCGCCCAUGGCCUUCGCAGCCCUAGAGGCCGCGGAGCCCCAAGGGAACGGCAAGAACGUCUCCAACUUCUUCCCCCAGGUCGUCAAGAACGUCGCGUCCCAGUCCCUCGAAGUGAAGAAGCUCGUCUACUUGUACUUGCUGCAUUACGCUGAAAAGCGUCCAAAUGAAGCAUUGCUUUCGAUCAAUUGUUUCCAAAGGGACUUGGGGGGCACUAAUCCUUUGGUGAGGGUCUGGGCACUCCGUACAAUGGCUGGAAUUCGUCUUCAUAUAGUCGCGCCCCUCGUUCUUGUAGCCGUAAACAAGUGCGCGAGAGAUCCAUCUGUUUAUGUCAGAAAGUGUGCUGCUAACGCUGUUCCCAAGUUGUUCGACUUGCGCAUUGAGGAAAAUACUUCUGCAAUCGAAGAGGUCGUACAUUGAAGGACCGGAUGAAUAUUUAUCACGUGCAACUUACAUUAAUAAGGAUUCACCGAAGUUAACUUCUGCAAGAUAUACAUCCGGGAAAAUUAAUGAUGAUAUUAAGAUCUUACUUCAAUGUACAUCACCACUGCUAUGGAGUUAUAAUAGUGCAGUGGUAGUUGCUGCUGCUACUGUACACUGGAUUAUGGCGCCAAUGGAGGAUGUCAAAAGGAUAGUUAAGCCGCUUUUGUUUGUCUUGCGAUCCUCUAAUGCCUCAAGAUACGUGAGCUGAUAAAUGUUGGGCAGAAGCAAGAUGCUCUGCAAGAACUUCACGAUCUUAUUACCUUGAAGAGAUCCCGAGCAUGGCAAAAUACCCUUGAGAGGAUUAUGUUCAAGUACAUUGAGCUAUGCGUUGAUAUGCGGAGGGGGAGAUUUGCCAAGGAUGGUCUGAUUGAGUAUCGCAUUGUAUGUCAACAAGUGAAUGUCACCUCUUUGGAGGAGGUGACGAAGCACUCCAUGCAAACCUUACAGGAGAAAGCAGAGCAGGCACAAGAUUGAAAGUAUCUUUUCAUAUAUAUCGGGGAUAAGCUUUGCUUUAGCAUCUUUUGUGCCAUAAGUGCAGUUGGCCCAAUAUGUUCAUGAGGUUGCUUAAGCAGGUGCUUUAAAGUGCUCAAGAUUAUUUAUUCUCUCAUUAUGUGUACUAUAAAGAAAAAUAUUUAUGUCAUUCUUGUGGAAAAUGUAGAUGAAUGUAUUUCAUUUUCAUAUUAUUAUAAUAUUUUGAUGAUAUUAAGUGCUUAAUCAAUGUUAAAUAUAAAUUUCAAAAA
This is an RNA transcript of Syzygium oleosum, 1397 nucleotides long. RefSeq lists it as uncharacterized. NCBI's taxonomy places the organism in Eukaryota, Viridiplantae, Streptophyta, Magnoliopsida, Myrtales, Myrtaceae. The record is from RefSeq and is a predicted model, not a curated record. The transcript has 4 exons.